Hyla sarda is the source of this 792-nucleotide long non-coding RNA. RefSeq lists it as uncharacterized. The transcript has 3 exons. The record is from RefSeq and is a predicted model, not a curated record. NCBI's taxonomy places the organism in Eukaryota, Metazoa, Chordata, Amphibia, Anura, Hylidae.
GCUGUUAGUGCUGUCUGAAAGUAAUCUGGAGGAAAAAUCCUUAUUAUGCUGAAGGGAAUCUGUCACCUAUCAAACUGUAAUGGAAAUUAACUAGUGAAUUCUAGCACCCAUAGGAGUCAGUCAGCAACUUAGGGUAAACAACAUUUCUACAAUCCUGGCCAUGCCAUCGCUUCAUGCAACUCAUUGUAGUAGAAAUCUAGACGUCACCAUCACAAGACAAAGCAAAUACAUGUGUUCGGUAUGGCAACGGUUCAAGACUUUCCAAUCCUGACAUACUUUUGGAGUAUUACAAAUAAGACAAUUAGUUCUAUUUCAGUAUAUUGAGACAAUUGUAAUAUCAAUCCCCGCAUGAAAACGACUACAUGCCCUUAUUGUGAAUCAGGAAACAAACAUUAUUUUCUACACAAUGUUUGUAAAGAAGAAAACAAAAUCCAAAUGAACCAUAAUCAUCAUCAUAACUAUCAAUUUAGGAUAAGAUGACAUAGGAGUUCUGAUCCGCAACACUGGACGGUGCAGAGAGGAGCACAUGCAAAAGUUUGUACAAGAAUUUCAGGGUCUACAAACAGGAAGCAUUUGAUAUACUGAUGCAUCCAUAAGCUGAUACAUUGCAAGGAACAAUGCAAGAACUAUUUCUGAAUACGGCUGAUACCUGCAAACAAUAGAGACAAGCCGGGAAAAGUCAGUAAAAUUCUAAUUCAAAUUUCCAAAUUCAUUCUUCUGUGGAAAAGAUUUAGAAUCUUAGAUACAAUUUACAUUGAUGUAAUAAAGGAAAUGAAAUAUUAACUUUUACCA